AGAGUUUGAUCCUGGCUCAGGAUGAACGCUAGCGGGAGGCCUAAUACAUGCAAGUCGAACGGUAAUCUAGUUGCUUGCAACUAGAACGAGUGGCGCACGGGUGAGUAACGCGUACGCGACCUGCCCCCAAGAGGGAAAUAGCCCUGGGAAACCGGGAUUAAUGUCCCAUGUGAUUGUAUUUCUAAGGGAUAUAAUUAAAGGAGCGAUCCGCUUGAGGAUGGGCGUGCGUGCUAUUAGCUAGUUGGUGAGGUAAUGGCUCACCAAGGCGACGAUAGCUAGGGGGCGUGAGAGCGUGAUCCCCCACACGGGUACUGAGACACGGACCCGACUCCUACGGGAGGCAGCAGUAAGGAAUAUUGGACAAUGGGGGCAACCCUGAUCCAGCCAUCCCGCGUGCAGGAAGACGGCCCUAUGGGUUGUAAACUGCUUUUAUUAGGGAAGAACAGCAUCAAUGUAUUGGUGUAUGACGGUACCUAAAGAAUAAGCACCGGCUAACUCCGUGCCAGCAGCCGCGGUAAUACGGAGGGUGCAAGCGUUAUCCGGAAUCACUGGGUUUAAAGGGUGCGUAGGUGGAAUAAUAAGUCAGGCGUGAAAGGUUACAGCUUAACUGUAGACUUGCGUUUGAUACUGUUAUUCUUGAAUUAAGAUGAGGUUGGCAGAAUGCGACAUGUAGCGGUGAAAUGCAUAGAUAUGUCGUA
RNAcentral lists this ribosomal RNA (698 nucleotides) under uncultured bacterium. RNAcentral's name for it is "bacterial SSU rRNA". It matches the Rfam family "Bacterial small subunit ribosomal RNA", at positions 8 to 703 of the family's 1533-position model. The record is from RNAcentral.